CACUGUCUACUAGAUGCAUAC
RNAcentral lists this microRNA (21 nucleotides) under Brugia malayi. RNAcentral describes it as "bma-miR-9516". The record is from miRBase by way of RNAcentral. Lineage: Eukaryota; Metazoa; Nematoda; Chromadorea; Rhabditida; Onchocercidae.